AGUUUUCAGGUCUUUUAAGAUUUUCGCGAGAUCUUCACAGAAGGAAAGGCUUUUCUUUAGGGACUCGACUUUCUUCCGGGAAACUUAAUUCCAUAGUUUCCUCUCCCACCGAACAUCUUCCAACUACUCUCAAUUCCUCAUCCCUUUCUGCUUCUUUAUUGAGUCAAGAUGCUUUAGCUAUACGAAGAGAAGUGGAAUUUCUUAAUGUUUUUAUUGGAUUUGAACAAGCUAACCGUUAUUCUAUUAAUUCUAUCUCGGGUCAAGCUGUUGGAUUUAUGGCUGAAGAAAACAAAAUUUCGUCUAUUUUUUUGAGGAAUGUACUCCGAAGAAGGCGAUCAAUCAAAGUUUCUGUGUUGGAUUCCACUGGAAACGUCAUU
Molecule: long non-coding RNA, 377 nt
Organism: Zophobas morio
Lineage: Eukaryota; Metazoa; Arthropoda; Insecta; Coleoptera; Tenebrionidae
Exons: 4
Source: RefSeq, a predicted model, not a curated record